AUUGAACGCUGGCGGCAUGCUUUACACAUGCAAGUCGAACGGUAACAGGCCUUCGGGUGCUGACGAGUGGCGAACGGGUGAGUAAUGCAUCGGAACGUACCCAGAGGUGGGGGAUAACGCAGCGAAAGCUGUGCUAAUACCGCAUGUGAUCUGAGGAUGAAAGCGGGGGACCGAGCAGCAAUGUUUGGCCUCGCACCUUUGGAGCGGCCGAUGUCGGAUUAGCUAGUUGGUGGGGUAAAGGCCUACCAAGGCGACGAUCCGUAGCUGGUCUGAGAGGACGACCAGCCACACUGGGACUGAGACACGGCCCAGACUCCUACGGGAGGCAGCAGUGGGGAAUUUUGGACAAUGGGCGCAAGCCUGGUCCAGCAAUGCCGCGUGCGGGAAGAAGGCCUUCGGGUUGUAAACCGCUUUUGGCAGGAACGAAACGGUGUCCGCUAAUACCGGGCGCUAAUGACGGUACCUGCAGAAUAAGCACCGGCUAACUACGUG
Molecule: ribosomal RNA, 492 nt
Filed under: uncultured bacterium
Lineage: Bacteria
Description: partial 16S ribosomal RNA
Rfam family: Bacterial small subunit ribosomal RNA
Source: RNAcentral